Molecule: ribosomal RNA, 473 nt
Filed under: Pseudomonas sp. oral taxon B99
Lineage: Bacteria; Pseudomonadati; Pseudomonadota; Gammaproteobacteria; Pseudomonadales; Pseudomonadaceae
Description: bacterial SSU rRNA
Rfam family: Bacterial small subunit ribosomal RNA
Source: RNAcentral
AUUGAACGCUGGCGGCAGGCCUAACACAUGCAAGUCGAGCGGUAGAGAGAAGCUUGCUUCUCUUGAGAGCGGCGGACGGGUGAGUAAUACCUAGGAAUCUGCCUGAUAGUGGGGGAUAACGUUCGGAAACGGACGCUAAUACCGCAUACGUCCUACGGGAGAAAGCAGGGGACCUUCGGGCCUUGCGCUAUCAGAUGAGCCUAGGUCGGAUUAGCUAGUUGGUGAGGUAAUGGCUCACCAAGGCUACGAUCCGUAACUGGUCUGAGAGGAUGAUCAGUCACACUGGAACUGAGACACGGUCCAGACUCCUACGGGAGGCAGCAGUGGGGAAUAUUGGACAAUGGGCGAAAGCCUGAUCCAGCCAUGCCGCGUGUGUGAAGAAGGUCUUCGGAUUGUAAAGCACUUUAAGUUGGGAGGAAGGGCAGUUACCUAAUACGUGACUGUCUUGACGUACCGACAGAAUAAGCACCGCA